Molecule: transfer RNA, 71 nt
Filed under: Anguilla anguilla (European eel)
Lineage: Eukaryota; Metazoa; Chordata; Actinopteri; Anguilliformes; Anguillidae
Rfam family: tRNA
About the family: Transfer RNA (tRNA) molecules are approximately 80 nucleotides in length. Their secondary structure includes four short double-helical elements and three loops (D, anti-codon, and T loops). Further hydrogen bonds mediate the characteristic L-shaped molecular structure. tRNAs have two regions of fundamental functional importance: the anti-codon, which is responsible for specific mRNA codon recognition, and the 3' end, to which the tRNAs corresponding amino acid is attached (by aminoacyl-tRNA synthetases). tRNAs cope with the degeneracy of the genetic code in two manners: having more than one tRNA (with a specific anti-codon) for a particular amino acid; and 'wobble' base-pairing, i.e. permitting non-standard base-pairing at the 3rd anti-codon position.
Source: Rfam by way of RNAcentral
UCCUCGUUAGUAUAGUGGUCAGUAUCCCCGCCUGUCACGCGGGAGACCUGGGUUCACUCCCUGAUUGGGAG